AAUGGGCGAAAGCCUGACGGAGCAACGCCGCGUGAGGGAUGAAGGCCUCUGGGCUGUAAACCUCUUUUCUCAAGGAAGAAGACAUGACGGUACUUGAGGAAUAAGCCACGGCUAAUUCCGUGCCAGCAGCCGCGGUAAUACGGGAGUGGCAAGCGUUAUCCGGAAUUAUUGGGCGUAAAGCGUCCGCAGGCGGCCUUGUAAGUCUGUCGUUAAAACGUGGAGCUCAACUCCAUUUCAGCGAUGGAAACUACAAGGCUUGAGUGUGGUAGGGGCAGAGGGAAUUCCCGGUGUAGCGGUGAAAUGCGUAGAUAUCGGGAAGAACACCAGUGGCGAAGGCGCUCUGCUGGGCCAUAACUGACGCUCAUGGACGAAAGCCAGGGGAGCGAAAGGGAUUAGAUACCCC
Molecule: ribosomal RNA, 403 nt
Filed under: uncultured cyanobacterium
Lineage: Bacteria; Bacillati; Cyanobacteriota
Description: bacterial SSU rRNA
Rfam family: Bacterial small subunit ribosomal RNA
Source: RNAcentral